This is a long non-coding RNA of Hydra vulgaris (swiftwater hydra), 350 nucleotides long. RefSeq lists it as uncharacterized. NCBI's taxonomy places the organism in Eukaryota, Metazoa, Cnidaria, Hydrozoa, Anthoathecata, Hydridae. The record is from RefSeq and is a predicted model, not a curated record.
UAUUUUAUAUUAUAUUCAUAUUUUUAUUGAUAAAUAACUUUUAGGGCUGUUGAUUUUAGUGAUGCAUAUCUUGAUUCUAAAAGCCUGGAGGCUGUUGGAUGCAACGAAUUUAACAAUUCCAAAGAUACAAAUGAUUUCGACGGUGCACAUUCUGAUUUAAAAAGUCUAUACACUUCCAGUCUGGUCAGGCAGUCAAUUUUCAGUCUAUAAAUUUGUAUACACCACAUCAAAUGCUGUACACAGUGAAUUGUCAGUUAAAAAAAACGAUGGAAUUUUACCCGAUCCAAUUUAUUUGAUGUUUCAACUGAUUCAGAAAAAUUUAUUUAAAAGAAAUAUAUAACUUUAUAUUA